Pteropus alecto (black flying fox) is the source of this 47-nucleotide non-coding RNA. NCBI's taxonomy places the organism in Eukaryota, Metazoa, Chordata, Mammalia, Chiroptera, Pteropodidae. The record is from Rfam.
CCAAAGGCUCUUUUCAGGGCCACUUAACUGUUUCCAUAGAGCAGCUG